This 253-nucleotide ribosomal RNA is filed under the name uncultured bacterium. RNAcentral describes it as "partial 16S ribosomal RNA". It matches the Rfam family "Bacterial small subunit ribosomal RNA", at positions 524 to 776 of the family's 1533-position model. The record is from RNAcentral.
UACGUAGGGUGCGAGCGUUAAUCGGAAUUACUGGGCGUAAAGCGUGCGCAGGCGGUUCGUUGUGUCUGCUGUGAAAUCCCCGGGCUCAACCUGGGAAUUGCAGUGGAAACUGGCGAGCUUGAGUGUGGCAGAGGGGGGUGGAAUUCCGCGUGUAGCAGUGAAAUGCGUAGAGAUGCGGAGGAACACCGAUGGCGAAGGCAGCCCCCUGGGCUGACACUGACGCUCAGGCACGAAAGCGUGGGGAGCAAACAGG